CAGAAAAUAGUUUAAUUAGAAUAUUAGCUUUGGGAGUUGAUGGCGGAGGUGAAAUUCCCCCUUUUCUGA
Molecule: transfer RNA, 69 nt
Filed under: Nibea albiflora (white flower croaker)
Lineage: Eukaryota; Metazoa; Chordata; Actinopteri; Sciaenidae
Also listed under: 1 other name
Description: tRNA-Pro
Rfam family: tRNA
About the family: Transfer RNA (tRNA) molecules are approximately 80 nucleotides in length. Their secondary structure includes four short double-helical elements and three loops (D, anti-codon, and T loops). Further hydrogen bonds mediate the characteristic L-shaped molecular structure. tRNAs have two regions of fundamental functional importance: the anti-codon, which is responsible for specific mRNA codon recognition, and the 3' end, to which the tRNAs corresponding amino acid is attached (by aminoacyl-tRNA synthetases). tRNAs cope with the degeneracy of the genetic code in two manners: having more than one tRNA (with a specific anti-codon) for a particular amino acid; and 'wobble' base-pairing, i.e. permitting non-standard base-pairing at the 3rd anti-codon position.
Source: RNAcentral